Molecule: ribosomal RNA, 1483 nt
Filed under: uncultured prokaryote
Description: partial 16S ribosomal RNA
Rfam family: Bacterial small subunit ribosomal RNA
Source: RNAcentral
AGAGUUUGAUCCUGGCUCAGGAUGAACGCUAGCGGCAGGCCUAACACAUGCAAGUCGAGGGGUAACGAUGGAGCUUGCUCCAGUCGACGACCGGCGCACGGGUGAGUAUCGCGUUUGUAACCUACCUUUAACUGGAGCAUAGCCCGAAGAAAUUCGGAUUAAUACUCCAUAAUACUAUGAACUGGCAUCUUUUUAUAGUUAAAGCUCCGGCGGUUAAAGAUGGGCAUGCGUAACAUUAGAUUGUUGGUGAGGUAACGGCUCACCAAGUCUACGAUGUUUAGGGGGUCUGAGAGGAUGGUCCCCCACACUGGUACUGAGACACGGACCAGACUCCUACGGGAGGCAGCAGUGAGGAAUAUUGGUCAAUGGGCGCAAGCCUGAACCAGCCAUGCCGCGUGCAGGAAGACUGCCCUAUGGGUUGUAAACUGCUUUUAUAUAGGAAGAAACCCCUCUACGUGUCGAGAGCUGACGGUACUAUACGAAUAAGCACCGGCUAACUCCGUGCCAGCAGCCGCGGUAAUACGGAGGGUCCAAGCGUUAUCCGGAUUUAUUGGGUUUAAAGGGUCCGUAGGCGGAAUAUUAAGUCAGUGGUGAAAUCCUGCAGCUCAACUGUAGAACUGCCAUUGAUACUGAUAUUCUUGAAUAUACUUGAAGUGGGCGGAAUGUGUCAUGUAGCGGUGAAAUGCUUAGAUAUGACACAGAACACCGAUUGCGAAGGCAGCUCACUAACGUAUUAUUGACGCUGAUGGACGAAAGCGUGGGGAGCGAACAGGAUUAGAUACCCUGGUAGUCCACGCCGUAAACGAUGAUUACUCGAUAUUGGCGAUAUAAUGUCAGUGACUAAGCGAAAGUGAUAAGUAAUCCACCUGGGGAGUACGGUCGCAAGAUUGAAACUCAAAGGAAUUGACGGGGGCCCGCACAAGCGGUGGAGCAUGUGGUUUAAUUCGAUGAUACGCGAGGAACCUUACCAGGGCUUAAAUGCAAAAUGACAGAUCUGGAAACAGAUCUUCCUUCGGGCAGAUUGCAAGGUGCUGCAUGGUUGUCGUCAGCUCGUGCUGUGAAGUGUCGGGUUAAGUCCCAUAACGAGCGCAACCCCUAUUUCUAGUUGCCAGCGAGUAAUGUCGGGGACUCUAGAGAAACUGCCGGCGUAAGCCGCGAGGAAGGUGGGGAUGACGUCAAAUCAUCACGGCCCUUACGUCCUGGGCUACACACGUGCUACAAUGGUCGGUACAAAGGGCAGCUACCUGGUGACAGGAUGCUAAUCUCUAAAGCCGAUCUCAGUUCGGAUCGAAGUCUGCAACUCGACUUCGUGAAGUUGGAAUCGCUAGUAAUCGCGCAUCAGCCAUGGCGCGGUGAAUACGUUCCCGGGCCUUGUACACACCGCCCGUCAAGCCAUGGAAGCCGGGGGUACCUGAAGUCAGUAACCGCAAGGAGCUGCCUAGGGUAAAACUGGUAACUAGGGCUAAGUCGUAACAAGGUAGCC